GGGAAGGUCAGACUGGGCCAGGCCAAUCUAGGAUUGCAAUCUAGGAUUGCAAAGCACCAUUCCUUUAGGUUCCUUGGUUUCCUCUUCCUCUUCCCUCUUCCUCUUUCUCUCUGCUGUGGGGUGACUUUUCAGACUUUCACAAUCAAUAAUGAUUAACACUUUAGUCUCCUUAACCUGUAACCUGAAUAUAUGACUUCUGGCCUCAAGGAGUUAACAAACCAAGUUAUAAUGCAAUAAUCAUAGUCUAAAGAAUAGAAGAAACUGAGAAAUCUUCAAUCAGCCAGAAGAUGACUCCUUCAGAGAAUAAGUUCCCAUUCAAAGUAUGCUUUGGGGAAGGGGGUGGUAAGCCUUUAUGAUGAGCAGCGAGAGUCGGAGUAUCUGGAUUUGGAGCUAGAGAAUGUGGGUUCAAAUCCUGAUGCUGCUGGGUGGAACCUGAAGUGAGCCUUAAAGGAAAACAGGGAAUCCGUGAGGCAGAAGUGGGAAGAGAGAGCAUUGAAGGCAUGGGCAAAUCAGGGCCUCGGUUUCCUAAUCUGUAAAAAGAGAGUAUUGGAUGAGAUGACGUUUAAAGUCCCAUCCAGCUCUAUUAUCUCAUGAUUGGGAAUCUCUUGUCAACAACACCACAGACUCUUUGUGUGACCUGAGAACAGCCUUUUCUCUGCUCUAGUAGAAUAAGGGUGAGAAUGCUGCCUCCUUUCCUACUUCACAGAUUGGUGGGGAGAGAGAACACAAGAAAGCUGGGCUUCAGUGAAAAUUAAAUGUGAAGGGAGGAAUGUGUAUAAAGUAAUUGGAGGAAAGAAAAUUGCAAAGUACUAUGUUUUGUCUGCAGCUUCCUCUGUAAUGAAUAAUUGGACUCUUCAGGGCCCUGUGGCUUUCUUUGGGGGAAAAGUAUUUGGUUUCAACAAUUCCCUGGUGUUAAGCUGAAGCUCCAAUGCCUCCUGACAU
Molecule: long non-coding RNA, 942 nt
Filed under: Phascolarctos cinereus (koala)
Lineage: Eukaryota; Metazoa; Chordata; Mammalia; Diprotodontia; Phascolarctidae
Description: lncRNA (ENSPCIG00000029129.2)
Source: RNAcentral